Molecule: non-coding RNA, 23 nt
Filed under: Arabidopsis thaliana (thale cress)
Lineage: Eukaryota; Viridiplantae; Streptophyta; Magnoliopsida; Brassicales; Brassicaceae
Source: RNAcentral
UCAUCCUCUACAAAUGACGCCAC